GAUGAACGCUGGCGGCGUGCCUAAUACAUGCAAGUCGAGCGAACGGACGAGAAGCUUGCUUCUCUGAUGUUAGCGGCGGACGGGUGAGUAACAAGUGGAUAACCUACCUAUAAGACUGGGCUAACUUCGGGAAACCGGAGCUAAUACCGGAUGAUAUUUUGAACUGCAUGGUUCAAACGUGAAAGACGGUCUUGCUGCCACUUAUUGAUGGAUCCGCGCCGCAUUAGCUAGUUGGUAAGGUAACGGCUUACUAAGGCAACGAUGCAUAGCCGACCUGAGAGGGUGAUCGGCCACGCUGGAACUGGGACUCGGUCCAGACUCCUACGGGAGGCAGCAGUAGGGAAUCUUCCGCAAGGGGCGAAAGCCUGACGGUGCAACGCCGCGUGAGUGAUGAAGGUCUUCGGAUCGUAGAACUCUGUUAUUAGGGAAGAACAUAUGUGUAAGUAACUGUGCACAUCUUGACGGUACCUAAUCAGAAAGCCACGGCUAACUACGUG
This 497-nucleotide ribosomal RNA is filed under the name uncultured bacterium. Its description in RNAcentral is "partial 16S ribosomal RNA". It matches the Rfam family "Bacterial small subunit ribosomal RNA", at positions 28 to 507 of the family's 1533-position model. The record is from RNAcentral.